This 1054-nucleotide ribosomal RNA is filed under the name Psychrobacter faecalis. RNAcentral's name for it is "bacterial SSU rRNA". It matches the Rfam family "Bacterial small subunit ribosomal RNA", at positions 440 to 1486 of the family's 1533-position model. The record is from RNAcentral. Lineage: Bacteria; Pseudomonadati; Pseudomonadota; Gammaproteobacteria; Moraxellales; Moraxellaceae.
CAGUGAAGAAGACUCCAUGGUUAAUACCCAUGGACGAUGACAUUAGCUGCAGAAUAAGCACCGGCUAACUCUGUGCCAGCAGCCGCGGUAAUACAGAGGGUGCAAGCGUUAAUCGGAAUUACUGGGCGUAAAGCGAGCGUAGGUGGCUUGAUAAGUCAGAUGUGAAAGCCCCGGGCUUAACCUGGGAACGGCAUCUGAUACUGUUAGGCUAGAGUAGGUGAGAGGAAGGUAGAAUUCCAGGUGUAGCGGUGAAAUGCGUAGAGAUCUGGAGGAAUACCGAUGGCGAAGGCAGCCUUCUGGCAUCAUACUGACACUGAGGUUCGAAAGCGUGGGUAGCAAACAGGAUUAGAUACCCUGGUAGUCCACGCCGUAAACGAUGUCUACUAGUCGUUGGGUCCCUUGAGGACUUAGUGACGCAGCUAACGCAAUAAGUAGACCGCCUGGGGAGUACGGCCGCAAGGUUAAAACUCAAAUGAAUUGACGGGGGCCCGCACAAGCGGUGGAGCAUGUGGUUUAAUUCGAUGCAACGCGAAGAACCUUACCUGGUCUUGACAUAUCUAGAAUCCUGCAGAGAUGCGGGAGUGCCUUCGGGAAUUAGAAUACAGGUGCUGCAUGGCUGUCGUCAGCUCGUGUCGUGAGAUGUUGGGUUAAGUCCCGCAACGAGCGCAACCCUUGUCCUUAGUUACCAGCGGUUUGGCCGGGAACUCUAAGGAUACUGCCAGUGACAAACUGGAGGAAGGCGGGGACGACGUCAAGUCAUCAUGGCCCUUACGACCAGGGCUACACACGUGCUACAAUGGUAGGUACAGAGGGCAGCUACACAGCGAUGUGAUGCGAAUCUCAAAAAGCCUAUCGUAGUCCAGAUUGGAGUCUGCAACUCGACUCCAUGAAGUAGGAAUCGCUAGUAAUCGCGGAUCAGAAUGCCGCGGUGAAUACGUUCCCGGGCCUUGUACACACCGCCCGUCACACCAUGGGAGUUGAUUGCACCAGAAGUGGGUAGCCUAACCUUUUAGGAUGGCGCUCACCACGGUGUGGUUGAUGACUGGGGUGAAGU